Molecule: ribosomal RNA, 349 nt
Filed under: Telimena canafistulae
Lineage: Eukaryota; Fungi; Ascomycota; Sordariomycetes; Phyllachorales; Telimenaceae
Description: eukaryotic LSU rRNA
Rfam family: Eukaryotic large subunit ribosomal RNA
Source: RNAcentral
CCUACUACGGCGAGUGAGCGGCACAGCUCAAUUUGAAUCUGGCUUCGGCCCGAGUUGUAAUUUGCAGAGGAAGUUUCUGGCCAGGUGCCUUCUGAGUCCACUGGAACGUGGCGCCACAGAGGGUGAGAGCCCCGUAUCGUCGGAUACCGCGCCUGUGUGAAACUCCUUCGACGAGUCGAGUAGUUUGGGAAUGCUGCUCUAAAUGGGAGGUAAAUUCCUUCUAAAGCUAAAUAUUGGCCCGAAACCGAUAGCGUACAAGUAGAGUGAUCGAAAGAUGAAAAGCACUUUGAAAAGAGAGUCAAACAGCACGUGAAAUUGUUGAAAGGGAAGGAUUUGUGACCAGACUUGU